UGCGAUCUGCGCUUCCCGACAGGACACUCAAUCCCCGGGGCCUUACUCGAUCCUUAGGGAGCUGUCCCUGUCCCGGCCCGUGGGCUUGGACACACGGCGCCCACCUACUUUGUAGGCAUCCCGGGAUCGUAAAUCGUCCAUCGGUUGUCGUGGAUCGCGC
RNAcentral lists this non-coding RNA (160 nucleotides) under Hyphomicrobiales bacterium. Its description in RNAcentral is "Rhizobiales bacterium 6S RNA". It matches the Rfam family "6S / SsrS RNA". From Rfam's summary of the family: E. coli 6S RNA was the first non coding RNA to be sequenced, but its function was unknown until recently. It consists of 184 nucleotides that fold into an extended hairpin structure with a large single-stranded internal bulge. The 6S RNA specifically associates with RNA polymerase holoenzyme containing the sigma70 specificity factor. Lineage: Bacteria; Pseudomonadati; Pseudomonadota; Alphaproteobacteria; Hyphomicrobiales. The record is from RNAcentral.